This 973-nucleotide long non-coding RNA is filed under the name Salvia miltiorrhiza (redroot sage). RNAcentral's name for it is "long non-coding RNA (SMIL_LNC007887)". Lineage: Eukaryota; Viridiplantae; Streptophyta; Magnoliopsida; Lamiales; Lamiaceae. The record is from RNAcentral.
CUUUCAAUUGUGGAUCCAAUAACUCUCCCAGAAUUCGAUCAAUUAUAACCAAAGAAAGUGCUUCGAAGGAAUGAGUUGUUAUCUGUAGCUACGGCUUCAAUUUGUGUGUAAAAUCCUUUGCUAUGAACCACUUUAUAUAUAGUCGAAUCAUUGUCUUCAUUUACAGAAAGUUUCCAUCCAUUCGUUGGUUGAGGAAGAAGAAAUAUAUUGUGAAGACAAACAUGGCAAGAAUGGAAAUUUGCUAUCACUAAUUUCAGCAAAAGCCUCAAUAUAUGCGUGAUCAACCUUUUUUCAAAAGAAAAAGAAAUUAAUUUAGAUUGGGGGCCGAUUCAUGUAGAAAUGGAAAUUGAUAUCAUAAAAUUCUUUCCAAAAUUUGUUCUUUCUAAAAUAAUAAUCAUUCUAUAUUUAAAAUAGUCAAACAUUUAAUACUUACCAUGUGGGGGGCAGAUCCGCGGGGAGUCGAAGCGGCGGCGGCCAUGGCUGCUGUGGUGGCCGGAAAUCGCGAAGAGGCGGUGAGGAUUUGGAGAUCUAGGGCUUCUUUGGGAGAGAGGAUGGAGAUUAGGGGUUGAGAGGUGGAGAUGAGGAUCGAGACAAAAGUCGGUCGACGGUGAUGGGGUGACUGUCGUGGUCGCUGGAAAUCGCGAAGAGGCGGUGAUGAUUUGGGGAUCUAGGGCUUCUUUGGGAGUGAGGAGGGAGAUUAGGGGCUGAGAGAUGGGAGGGGAGACAGAAGUCGUGGCCGUGGCUUGCCGGCGGCAGCUUUCGCUGGAGUUUCAGGGGCGGCGGCGAUAGGGUGAGAAUAAGGUGUGACGGGUGGUCUGCAGAUGUGGAGUGAGAUGUGAAUUUGAUUCUUGAAUAAUUGUUAAUUGGAAUAUUCAAUGUAAAUUAAAAAUAAAAUAUUACAUGUGGAAUUAAUUUGCCACGUAGGAUGUAUAUUUUAAAGCUAGAGGCUGUAGAAUUGCAGGGAUUUUAAACC